This 415-nucleotide ribosomal RNA is filed under the name uncultured crenarchaeote. RNAcentral's name for it is "partial 16S ribosomal RNA". It matches the Rfam family "Archaeal small subunit ribosomal RNA", at positions 330 to 747 of the family's 1478-position model. The record is from RNAcentral. Lineage: Archaea; Thermoproteati; Thermoproteota.
GUGCAGCAGUCGCGAAAACUCCGCAAUACGCGAAAGCGUGACGGGGCUACCCCGAGUGUCGUCCGCUGAGGAUGGCUUUUCUCUGCUGUAAGAAGGCAGAGGAAUAAGGAGAGGGCAAGUCUGGUGUCAGCCGCCGCGGUAAUACCAGCUCUCCGAGUGGUAGGGAUGAUUAUUGGGCUUAAAGCGUCCGUAGCUGGCCUUUCAAGUCUCCCGUUAAAUCCAACGAUUCAAUCGUUGGACUGCGGGAGAUACUGUUGAGCUAGGAGGCGGGAGAGGCCGACGGUAUUCCCGGAGUAGGGGUGAAAUCUUAUAAUUCCGGGAGGACCACCAGUGGCGAAGGCUGUCGGCUAGAACGCGCUCGACGGUGAGGGACGAAAGCUGGGGGAGCGAACCGGAUUAGAUACCCGCGUAGUCC